This 21-nucleotide microRNA is filed under the name Canis lupus familiaris (dog). Its description in RNAcentral is "Cfa-Mir-676_3p (mature (guide))". The record is from RNAcentral. Lineage: Eukaryota; Metazoa; Chordata; Mammalia; Carnivora; Canidae.
CCGUCCUAAGGUUGGUGAGUU